This 791-nucleotide ribosomal RNA is filed under the name Staphylococcus sp. Iso-16. RNAcentral's name for it is "bacterial SSU rRNA". It matches the Rfam family "Bacterial small subunit ribosomal RNA", at positions 51 to 825 of the family's 1533-position model. Lineage: Bacteria; Bacillati; Bacillota; Bacilli; Caryophanales; Staphylococcaceae. The record is from RNAcentral.
AUACAUGCAGUCGAGCGAACAGAUAAGGAGCUUGCUCCUUUGACGUUAGCGGCGGACGGGUGAGUAACACGUGGAUAACCUACCUAUAAGACUGGGAUAACUUCGGGAAACCGGAGCUAAUACCGGAUAACAUAUUGAACCGCAUGGUUCAAUAGUGAAAGGCGGCUUUGCUGUCACUUAUAGAUGGAUCCGCGCCGUAUUAGCUAGUUGGUAAGGUAACGGCUUACCAAGGCAACGAUACGUAGCCGACCUGAGAGGGUGAUCGGCCACACUGGAACUGAGACACGGUCCAGACUCCUACGGGAGGCAGCAGUAGGGAAUCUUCCGCAAUGGGCGAAAGCCUGACGGAGCAACGCCGCGUGAGUGAUGAAGGUCUUCGGAUCGUAAAACUCUGUUAUCAGGGAAGAACAAAUGUGUAAGUAACUGUGCACAUCUUGACGGUACCUGAUCAGAAAGCCACGGCUAACUACGUGCCAGCAGCCGCGGUAAUACGUAGGUGGCAAGCGUUAUCCGGAAUUAUUGGGCGUAAAGCGCGCGUAGGCGGUUUUUUAAGUCUGAUGUGAAAGCCCACGGCUCAACCGUGGAGGGUCAUUGGAAACUGGAAAACUUGAGUGCAGAAGAGGAAAGUGGAAUUCCAUGUGUAGCGGUGAAAUGCGCAGAGAUAUGGAGGAACACCAGUGGCGAAGGCGACUUUCUGGUCUGUAACUGACGCUGAUGUGCGAAAGCGUGGGGAUCAAACAGGAUUAGAUACCCUGGUAGUCCACGCCGUAAACGAUGAGUGCUAAGUGUUA